This 301-nucleotide ribosomal RNA is filed under the name uncultured bacterium. Its description in RNAcentral is "partial 16S ribosomal RNA". It matches the Rfam family "Bacterial small subunit ribosomal RNA", at positions 509 to 809 of the family's 1533-position model. The record is from RNAcentral.
CAGCAGCCACGGUAAGACAGAGGAUGCAAGCGUUAUCCGGAAUGAUUGGGCGUAAAGCGUCUGUAGGUGGCUUUUCAAGUCCGCCGUCAAAUCCCAGGGCUCAACCCUGGACAGGCGGUGGAAACUACCAAGCUGGAGUACGGUAGGGGCAGAGGGAAUUUCUGGUGGAGCGGUGAAAUGCGUUGAGAUCGGAAGGAACACCAACGGCGAAAGCACUCUGCUGGGCCGACACUGACACUGAGAGACGAAAGCUAGGGGAGCAAAUGGGAUUAGAUACCCCCGUAGUCCUGUCUCUUAUACA